Molecule: RNA transcript, 1209 nt
Organism: Paramacrobiotus metropolitanus
Lineage: Eukaryota; Metazoa; Tardigrada; Eutardigrada; Parachela; Macrobiotidae
Exons: 3
Source: RefSeq, a predicted model, not a curated record
UCCCUGUAGAGCACAUUUUUCUUAGACACAUUUUAGUUAUGGCUGUGGUUUUGCUAACACAUCAGUGGCUGAAUGAGCAGUGUUCGAAGCCGCUGUCUUGAACCUCUGCUUAGCGACAGAAGCAACGACUUCCGAGUUCCGACCACUCGCAGGUUUUCAAGAACUGCCGUCCCUGCGCGGCUGCCCUGGCCAUACACGGUUUGCAGCACACCUGCAGCGGCGCCCUAUCAUUGUGGCCACCAUUCAUUUUGGCCACCAUUAUUUUGGCCACCAAUCAUUUUGGCCACCCGUCAUUUUGGCCAACUAAGAAACUUAGAAACCUAAAAACCUAAGAAUCUAAGAAGCCUAACAAAACCUAAGAACCUAAGAAACCUAAGAAACCUAAAAAAACUAAGAAACCUGGGGUGGCCAAAAUGAGUGGCCAAAAUGAAUGGACACCUUUGCGGCUAGUGCAUUUGAUUGCUUGCACACUUUCAUCUGUUUUUUUCAUUUGUUAUUUUGUCACUCCUUGUGCGCCAUGGCGGUUCGGCGAGGAUUUCGUUUUCCUCAAAAAGUCAGUUGGGCUCCUGCCUCUGCGAUGCCCACGACGACUCCAUCUCCCAGUCCCAGCAGCCCGCCCGCCGUCCGCAGCACCAGCGCCAACAGCUACACCCCACAACGAAGAUCUUUAUGACGGCGGAGGAAACCCGUACAGCACAGCAGCCGUUCUGGGAUACUGCGCGCUGGCGGCACUGCUUGUGCUGCUGCUGUAGCUGUACGAGGUUUCCCGAUGGCUUCGCGGAAAACGAGUGCCAUUGCGGGCUGCUGGCGAUGGAUCUCCAUCCUCGUCGACGUCCUCGUUGGACCGAGCCACCUUUGUGCCCAAAGAGGACAGUUCUGCUGCGGCACCGACGCAGCGUGAGCCCUCCAAAGGGUGAACAAUCGGAGUCUCCCCCCAGCCUGAAUAUUAAUUUACUGAGUUUCCUGGAUUAAGAUCAUUAAGGGAGUGGAACAGUAUUCUCACCACGGAAGCCUACUUCCCCGAUGCCAGUUUUCUAUAAUAAUUGUAAUUUGUUUGAUAAAUUUUGGCGAUUGCGGCUGCGCACUGUGGGAAUGUUACAAGCUUCUGCCUUCUGGUAUUUUUUAAUUUUAUCGGUGUUACAGUGUACAGUAUUUUAGGCUUACGGGCGGUAUUGUUGUUUUUACAAAGUAGAGUGAAUAAACGUAAAA